This 445-nucleotide ribosomal RNA is filed under the name uncultured bacterium. RNAcentral's name for it is "partial 16S ribosomal RNA". It matches the Rfam family "Bacterial small subunit ribosomal RNA", at positions 354 to 796 of the family's 1533-position model. The record is from RNAcentral.
GUGAGGAAUAUUGCGCAAUGGAGGCAACUCUGACGCAGCCAUGCCGCGUGCAGGAAGAAGGCGCUACGCGUUGUAAACUGCUUUUAACCGGGAAGAAACCCCAGGACGUGUCCUGGGUUGACGGUACCGGAGGAAUAAGCACCGGCUAACUUCGUGCCAGCAGCCGCGGUAAUACGAAGGGUGCAAGCGUUAUCCGGAUUCAUUGGGUUUAAAGGGUGCGUAGGCGGAGCGUUAAGUCAGUGGUGAAAACCUGCAGCUUAACUGUAGACUUGCCAUUUAUACUGGCGCUCUUGAGUGCGCUUGAAGUGGGCGGAAUGUGCCGUGUAGCGGUGAAAUGCUUAGAUAUGGCACAGAACACCAAUUGCGAAGGCAGCUCACUAAGGCGAUACUGACGCUGAGGCACGAAAGCGUGGGGAUCGAACAGGAUUAGAAACCCUAGUAGUCC